GCCUGUUGGCUCUAAAUUUCAACUUUACAUGCAGAUGUAUAACUAUACUUGUUUUUUGUUUGUUUGUUUUGCCAGUCCUGGGGCUUGGACUCAGGGCCUGAGCACUGUCCCUGGCUUCUUUUUGCUCAAGGCUAGCACUCUGCCAGUUGAGCCACAGCGCCACUUCUGGCCAUUUU
Long non-coding RNA from Perognathus longimembris pacificus (Pacific pocket mouse), 176 nucleotides. RefSeq lists it as uncharacterized. Lineage: Eukaryota; Metazoa; Chordata; Mammalia; Rodentia; Heteromyidae. The transcript is spliced from 3 exons. The record is from RefSeq and is a predicted model, not a curated record.